Molecule: transfer-messenger RNA, 357 nt
Filed under: Pseudomonadales
Lineage: Bacteria; Pseudomonadati; Pseudomonadota; Gammaproteobacteria
Also listed under: 1 other name
Description: Bermanella sp913058575 Standard tmRNA
Rfam family: transfer-messenger RNA
About the family: Bacterial tmRNA, also known as 10Sa RNA or SsrA, is named for its dual tRNA and mRNA-like properties. Its role is to liberate the mRNA from a stalled ribosome.
Source: RNAcentral
GGGGACGAUUUUGGAUUCGACGCCGAUGAUGAAGCUUGAGGUGCAUGUGGUGAGGGUAAAGCGAUCACCUAAAUCCCCGUUUUACAUAUUAUAGUCGCAAACGACGAAAACUACGCACUAGCGGCUUAAUUGCCCGCUAACCUUCGAUUCUGGAUGCUUAUGGACAGAUGACAAGGGCACGCAACAUAAGCUCGCGCGGAAAGCUUGCCUAAGGCGGAACCGUUAAAUAAGUAUUAGGCUCGCCCUAAACGCCCUGUCUCUCGGGCCGUGAUGGGUUAAUCUAGUAGAGAGAAUAAACAUGUAGAGCCGAUAGGGGAGUGUUGGCGGACGCGGGUUCGAACCCCGCCGUCUCCACCA